RNAcentral lists this ribosomal RNA (460 nucleotides) under uncultured bacterium. Its description in RNAcentral is "partial 16S ribosomal RNA". It matches the Rfam family "Bacterial small subunit ribosomal RNA", at positions 338 to 795 of the family's 1533-position model. The record is from RNAcentral.
CCUACGGGAGGCAGCAGUGAGGAAUAUUGGUCAAUGGGCGCGAGCCUGAACCAGCCAAGUAGCGUGAAGGAUGACUGCCCUACGGGUUGUAAACUUCUUUUAUAAGGGAAUAAAGUGUUCCACGUGUGCCUUUUUGUAUGUAUUUUAUGAAUAAGGAUCGGCUAACUCCGUGCCAGCAGCCGCGGUAAUACGGAGGAUCCGAGCGUUAUCCGGAUUUAUUGGGUUUAAAGGGAGCGUAGGUGGGUUGUUAAGUCAGUUGUGAAAGUUUGCGGCUCAACCGUAAAAUUGCAAUUGAUACUGGCAGUCUUGAGUACAGUAGAGGUAGGCGGAAUUCGUGGUGUAGCGGUGAAAUGCUUAGAUAUCACGAAGAACUCCGAUUGCGAAGGCAGCCUACUAAACUGCCACUGACACUGAGGCUCGAAAGUGUGGGUAUCAAACAGGAUUAGAUACCCGGGUAGUC